RNAcentral lists this ribosomal RNA (493 nucleotides) under uncultured bacterium. Its description in RNAcentral is "bacterial SSU rRNA". It matches the Rfam family "Bacterial small subunit ribosomal RNA", at positions 903 to 1397 of the family's 1533-position model. The record is from RNAcentral.
AAAUGAAUAGACGGGGACCCGCACAAGCGGUGGAGCAUGUGGUUUAAUUCGACGCAACGCGAAGAACCUUACCAAGACUUGACAUCCCUUUGACCGCUUCUUAAUAGGAGCUUUCCUUCGGGACAAAGGAGACAGGUGGUGCAUGGUUGUCGUCAGCUCGUGUCGUGAGAUGUUGGGUUAAGUCCCGCAACGAGCGCAACCCUUAUUUUUAGUUGCCAUCAUUAAGUUGGGCACUCUAAAGAGACUGCCAGUGAUAAAUUGGAGGAAGGUUGGGAUGACGUCAAAUCAUCAUGCCCCUUAUGUCUUGGGCUACACACGUGCUACAAUGGACAGUACAAAGGGCAGCAACGCCGCGAGGCCAAGCCAAUCCCAUAAAGCUGUUCUCAGUUCGGAUUGCAGGCUGCAAUUCGCCUGCAUGAAGUCGGAAUCGCUAGUAAUCGCAGGUCAGCAUACUGCGGUGAAUACGUUCCCGGGUCUUGCACACACCGCCCGU